This is an RNA transcript of Myxocyprinus asiaticus (Chinese sucker), 3096 nucleotides long. It is a transcript of the gene named beta-1,4-glucuronyltransferase 1, with no coding region annotated. The transcript is spliced from 3 exons. Lineage: Eukaryota; Metazoa; Chordata; Actinopteri; Cypriniformes; Catostomidae. The record is from RefSeq and is a predicted model, not a curated record.
GCGACGCCAUGCGCGGUGUCUGAUCUUCACGAGCGAUGGUUUCUUUUUUGUGUGUUUGAGGGCGUCUUAAACAUGCGAAUUAAUUCCCGCUCAAAUAUUUCGACAAACAGGGGUUGACUACAGCUUGCUGCAAUGCAAGUGCUGUCUCAUGCAUGCAUGCAUGCAUGAGGGUGUCUAGCUAGCUAGUGGCACCCAGGCUUACCCUAGGUGAUCUGUGUUCACAGCAGCCACAAAGCUUGUAUUUCAAGACUGAUUUCAUGUACAUUCACUUACAGGUACAAAUUAUUGUAAUGCAUUUCUCUAAAAAAUGCUCCGUUUUUAAAGUGGUGCUCAGUGCCCUUCUCCUUGUUGCACUGUUGCAGCUUUUAUAUCUGUCUUUCAUCUCAAAAUUGCAUGGCAAACAGCAGCGCUACAAAUAUUCCGAGCUGUUUGGCUCCAAAAAGACCUCGCAUCAAGAAAAAAACCCCAGGCGAGAACAUCUCAGAUACUCUUUAUCCACAGGUGGCAUCUUCGAUGGUAGCGGACAGUACCGUGUGUAUAAAAAUCUAAUCAAAAGUGACUUUUCUACCAAUCAGAAGCCAGGUGCAGAUCCAAGAUCACACCACCUUGCUUUGGCUUCGCAUACGACUAUCAAUAACCUUCAUCACUUGAACUCUUUGCUGGAGCGCUGGCAGAAUCCACUGUCCAUCGCCAUAUUCGCCCAUGGCCAAGAUGUCAGGUUUGCCACCGCCUUUGUCUAUGCCCUCAGCCUCUUCUGUCCUCAGAUUCAAGCUCUGGUGGACUUCCAUCUGGUCUGCCACUCAGGGGAGAUGGCCAGCUUUCCAGAACAGGACAGAGAGCAUUUUGCUGGGCUUGAAGAGAAAGGGUGUAUCGGUGUCUUUGCAAAACUUGAAUCCUACCGAGACAAGUAUAAAAACUACGCCAUUGGCAGCAAUGUCUCGUACCCCAAUAACCUCCUCCGUAACGUGGCCCGAAGUGGCACAGAUGCUGCCUACAUCCUGGUCAUCGACAUUGAUAUGAUACCCAGUGCUAAUUUACACCACCAGUUCGUGACCAUGCUGAUGAAACGUGAACCAGCAGCGGACGAAGUCCUCGUGCUUCCUGCUUUUGAAAUCAGACACACUCGUAAAAUGCCCGCCUCUAAGUCGGAGCUGGUACAGCUCUAUCAGGUUGGGGAGGUGCGGCCGUUCUAUGAUGAACUUUGCCCUCGUUGUCAGGCUCCGACUAACUACUCUCAGUGGGUCAAUCUGCCCAGCAAAAGCUCUGGGCCACUGGAGGUGGUGUACACUAUAAAUUGGGCGGAUCCAUGGGAGCCAUUCUAUAUUGGUGCUCAAUCGGUUCCUCUAUACGAUGAAAACUUCAGGCAAUAUGGCUUCAACCGCAUCAGUCAGAAACCGCUUGUCAAAGCUUAAGAUGUUUUGUCAAGAAUAAUCUGGGGAAGGAAUUCAGACACUGUCGACACAAAGACACAAAAACUCACACAGAGUGAAAGUAUGAGCCAUUAAUCUGCAAAAUAACCAUCUGCAAAGAUCUGCUCUCCAAGAGGUAUGUGUUUGUAGGUCACAUAUAUUUAAAUUAGUAUAUUUUUAGUAAAUUGUAUCUUUUAAAAAUGUAAUUUUAUUAGCUACCUGAUUUUCACUGAUGUUUUAAACUCUUAUUGUAAAAAAUGUACACUUAUGUGGGGAGUAGAAAAAAUUCCAAGCAUUGUCUGCAGUUUUCUGUGGUGUGACAUACUUUCUUCAUUCUGCAUUUUCUUGUUUACUGUAUUAUACUUGCUGUUUCCAUGUCCUCAUAUUAAUUGAGAGAGUUCGUACUUCUAGAAAAAAGGUAAUUAAAAUGGUGAAAACUUGAAAUGGUAAUGAAAUGCUGACCUGUCACAGCACUUUAAAUACACUUUUUCCCUUAUUCAUGUACACCGGUGGGGCCCAUUUUCAUUUCGCCCCACAAUCCACUACCUUCUCUGUCCUAACGUCAUAGUUUUCCAAAGAAGGCAGUUAUGGAGCAUGUUUUUUAAAGUUUUUAGUGCCGUUUCAAUGUGGAAAUAAAUGUGUUUUCAAAUGAAAACAUAUUAGUGUGGAUGUGAUCUAAAUGAUGAUAUAUGCUUUUGUUGAAGCCACAGGUCAGUGUGAUUACCACUUCAUUUAAAAUGUAAAAUCGUGUUUAUUUGGACAUUUCCAGUGAAGAACUACACUACCCAUAAUCAUGCAGAGAGAUCCACCAAUCAGGAAAGUUGCUGGUACCAUGGAAAUCUAAAUUGUAAACUACUUGUAUACUGUGUAGAUUUAAAUAAACUGAAAUAUAUUGUACUUAUAAUCAGUUAUUAUACAGUACUGUGCAAAAGUUUUAGGCACUUGUGAAAAAUGUUGCCUAGUGAGGAUUUCUUCAAAAAUAAUGCCAUGAAUAGUUUUCAUUUAUAAAUUAACGUCAUACAAAGACCAGUAAAAAAAAAUAUUAUCAAUAUUAUCAAAAAUAUUAUCAAUAUUUCGUGUGACCACUUUGGCUUCAAAACAGCACCAUUUCUCCUAGGUACACCUGGACACAGUUUUUCUUGGUUGUUGGCAGAAAGGAUAUUCCAAGCUUCUUGGAGAAUUUGCUACAGUUCUUCUAUCUUCUAUCUGUCCCAGUUGCUUCUGUCUCUUCAUGUAAUCCCAGACUCGAUGUUCAGUGGGGGACUCUGUGGGGGUCAUACAGUCUGUUGCAGGGCUCCCUAUUAUUCUAUUCUAUUCUAUUAGCAAAAGGAAUGUUUGGGAGUCUAAAAUGUAUAUUUCAUCAAUAAAGCUGAAGAUAUAAAUAACCAUCUUAAGACAAAUGUUUUUGUUAAAUAUCUUAUGUACUUUCUGAUUCAGUUAUGCCUUGGGGUUUAGGAUAUCACAACAAAAAAAAAAAACUUCUGGAUUGAAACACCAAGAUAAAAUCUCCAAAAUGCACAUAAAAACCUAAAUACUAACCUAACAUUUAGGCGUGUGAGCUUCACAUAGCAGGUUACAGGUUCUCUGUAGUGAGCAAUGCCUUUGUGGUGCACAAAGGGUUUAAGGUCCAGGGAGAUUUCCACAGCAGAAAGGAUGAGGAGAACCAUAAAAACCGUCUCCUCUUUCG